This 840-nucleotide long non-coding RNA is filed under the name Homo sapiens (human). RNAcentral's name for it is "HSALNT0313850". Lineage: Eukaryota; Metazoa; Chordata; Mammalia; Primates; Hominidae. The record is from RNAcentral.
GUCACUCAGUCAACAUGUAUACUCCUUGACUGAGCAGUGUUUGAGUGGGCACCAAGCUUAGACAUGUGUGUAGGGAGGCAAUUAUAACUAGUUACAGCCAUCCUGCCUCUUCUGUCCUCCUCUCUUCCCCAGCCUUAGCCCCCCAGCCUCAUGGGGCCCAGAGUCCUCCUUCAGAUGAGGCCAGUGUCCCAGGCAACUACCUGACGUGGGAAAAGCUGCCGUCCUAGAGAUCAGAAAGAACCCACCAGUCAGGAACAGCAAUUCUGAUGAUGUCAGCUUCUAAGUUUUCAGAAGCGACAGCCUCUGGUGUUCUUACAGCAUCAGAAGAGCAGAAAAGCUGGCCACUUAUGAACCCACACAUUGUUACAGAGCAUCUCGGCUUUCUGCCAAGGAGCACCACUCAGGCUUUAAAGAUUUGUCCUUUGAUUUUACUUUUUAGGGCAUCUUGAGACAAUGUUCUGCCUACACAAAAUUCUAAACUGAGAGGAGUGGCUCAGAAGCUCUACUAACAUGGAAUCACAUGUGAUUCAAGAGAGUGCCAAAGGAAACAACAGGACAGAAGGAGACAUGAGGAAGAGAUGGGACAGACAGCACUCAACCCUGAGCAGACGUGAGGGGCAAAAGAAAAGGCAACAUUAAGGACCCAUUCAAGUUUCAAGUCUCAGCGUCCCAGAGGAUGCUGAAAUCUCUCAUCUAUGCUGACUCUACCUCCGAAUGCGUGACAGAACCAGCCAGGAAACAUUUCUCACAGAAAUAUGAAGCACUUGGAUUUGAAUUGUGUAAUUUCCCUUUAGAGGCCAUCCUUAAGAAUUGCGUGCCUUGCAUGUUGAAGAAUUUCUG